UCGGGGGGGAGGGGCAUGUGCCCCCCCCAUGAGUUGCCUAUGCUGACAGUCUUAUUUUGUGUUGAGAUAGGGUCUGACAUCCUACUGGAUGCAGGUCACAUACAUACACUCAACUAUCAUCAGCUGGUUGAGGUCCACAAGUUGUGCAUGUAGAAAAAUUUGUCCAAAGCCUGAAUCUGCUAAGCCCAGGAUCUGGGUAUCCGCUAAGUUAACUGGAACCACAUUCAUCUCUCCCCUGGGGUCUCUGUAUGGACCUCAGAGGUCCAAAUCUGCACAUGCCUGAAGUCCAUCAGUGGAGAGUCCUUGUGCCAGUGCCCCAGUUUCUCACAAAUAAAACAGAUUAAGAGUUCCCCUUGUUCUCAUACUGGUGACAUGUCCUGGAGGUGAUCCUUUUUGGUCAUCCCAUGGUUGGCCCUAUGUGGCUGUGCCAGCCCUUGCUUUCACAGUGAUCAAGGAAGGAGUCUAGGGCAUGGGGUAGGACCAUGCACCAAAGAGCUCCUAGUCAUAGAAAGUCCUCCCCUGGUUUGGUUCAGGCCCUUUGGUCCAACAGAGUAUUUUCUGCAUUCCAGUUUGACUUCUAGGAAGUUCUCAAAUACGCCAACUGCCUCCCUGACUCUUCUAACCUAGUGCUUGCAAGCUCAUUCCCUGGUAAUAUCUUCCAGAACAGCUCCAAGUGGUUGAUGGUUUGCUCAGCUAUGAACAACAUGCAUUUAAAGUCAUGGUCCCUCUCCAAGAAGCUUGCAGUCUGAAAGGGGCAGCUUUGAACGUACAAUAAAACUGCUUUUCUGAAACAACAGCUGUGCUAAAAGAAGUGGCAGGGCAUGCGUGCGCCCCAGUUGGAUCUGCAAUCCCUGAACAGACUGCAUCACCCACCGUGGGGGAGCACGGGAGGAUGAGACUUCUCUUCCCCAGACCCUAAUUUCCCACUUGACCAUUGAAGCUUCCCAGCUUCCAACAUACAAGAAUCAUGACUGACCUAAAAAGAUCUCUCGGCCAUCAUCCCCUCGGAAAGAAACUCCAAAAAACCUCAGGACACUGAAAAGCUGCACAUUUCCCACGACUUUGAAUUUAACCACAUACACUCUGGGCACAAAUCUUCUUUCAUUCUUACACUGGCGAGAAUACAGAAUAACUCCAUUAUCGAUAAAAAGAAUUAAAAUAAUGCACAGCUUUGGAAGGCAUAGAAGAUUGUAACCCAUAGACUUAUAUGCUGAUGCUGUUGCUAUGGGUUCAUUUAUUAAGGACCAGGAGCCAUGGGGGAGUUUGUUCCAGCUGAAGCCUGCGGCCAGUUGCACAACAGCCUGAGCCUCCGUAGACAUUAGAACAGGCUGUUCCA
This is a long non-coding RNA of Gavialis gangeticus (Gharial), 1336 nucleotides long. RefSeq lists it as uncharacterized. The transcript has 4 exons. The record is from RefSeq and is a predicted model, not a curated record. Lineage: Eukaryota; Metazoa; Chordata; Crocodylia; Gavialidae.